GUUCUUCCUCCUUGUGCCGGUUUAGUAUCGAGGGAAGAGAAAUCAAACGUCCGAGUUCACUCUCCUCAUCGGAUGGAAAGCGAGCGAGAGCAGUGAGCCCGUGAGCAUUGUUGAUGCAAACGAGGAGGUGUCCAGUUGGCAGUGGAGCAGUCGCUACUUUCAGUGAGAUGUGGUUUGGUGAGGGCUCUGCGUGGGGCCCCCCGGCUCCAGGUAGGAAUGCCCCGUUAGCUGGGGCUGGGUUUGUAAGAAAUGGUUCCUGACCAGUUGUGGUUACGAGAGAGACAAGGUCCCCAUUUUCAGGGGCUGCUCAGUUUGUUGGCUAGGAGCUGUGUGUCCUCUGCAGCGGAAGGUUGCAUCUAGGAGGAUGACUGCAGGUGGUGAGUUGCUUGCUUUCCUCCCAUUUCUUUCUCUCUGUGUCUCUCUCUCUCCUCUAGUGUGUUGGCCAACUUUCUCACUCUCUUUCCUAUCUCCUCUCCUCUCCUUGUGCCAUCUCCCCUUGUGGGACACGGGCAGGCGUGCUAGGUUUGCAUCCCCAGAGGCCAGGUCUCGGGAGCCAUGGAGAAGUAGGAGGAGAUGAAAAUAAUGCAGAGCAGUGGGCAUGAGAGCGGAGCACUGUUCCUGCAGAGGAAUUGUCCAGGAGUCCCAGCUGGAGGAGAGACUGGCAGAAAUGGAUCUGAGCAGCUUGGACAUCCUUCUAAGGAGACAUGAACAGUCCUCAGCUUUCUGAAUUCUGAAUAACUGGCUGUGAGUCAGAGUACCAAGGAAAAAGAAGACACACGUCAGUCUACAGCUCUCAUGCGAUGGACAGUGAUGAAGAGUGAUGGGACCUUGAGAAUUAUUCGAUGGCAUGAAAAAGCCAUCCAUCUGGGAGUGGAACAGACGGCACUGUCUCUGAGAUAAGUGUGUGUUUUGCUGAGGGUUCUUCUCAAGGCCCACCUGGCUCCUGAUAGGGACGCCCUGUUAGCUGGGCCUGGGUUUGUGUUAAAAAAAAAAAAAAAAAAUCCCUGAACAGCAGUGGUUACAAGGGAGACACGGGUUACGUUUUCGGGGCUGGUCAUUUCUCUGUUCACAAGCAGUGUGUCCUCUGCAGCAGAAGGUUGGAUCCAGGGAGAUGGCUCCAGCUGGACACGGGCAGCUGUGCUAGGGGUGCAUCCCCACAGGCUAGGUCUCGAGAGCUAUGAACAAGUAGCAGGGGAUGAAAAUCAUGCAGGAUAGUGAGUGCGAGAGUGGAGGCAGGUACUGGAAGAUGUCGUGCAUCUAUACUGUUUUUGUCAGUGAUGGCUCUUCCAUAGGUGGUUAGCUGUUCUUGCGGAGGGCUGCUCCAGGCCAGCGGAGCAGCCCUGUCUGGGGAUCUGAGGAAGCAGACAUACCCAAUAUAGCUGUUUUGCUUUGCAGUGGAGCCAAGGAGCAAUCUUGUAAUGUUGGAGGAUCAGUUCAUACUGAGAUAGGUCUCUGCCACAGGUUGGCCAAUCUCUCAUCUGACCAAAGAAGUAGUAGCCACCCUGAGCCCAUCGCUAGGGAUGGAAGCUGGACAAUGAUCUGCAGAGUAAGAGCAAAUGGAAAUUUUCUGAAGUUCAGUAUUGAGGGAGGGCUGCAAACACUCUUCUCAGUGGAGAGAAUUUGUGAGUAUGGGGAAGGCCCCUGAGGAAAGGCCUCUGCAUCUCACGGGGACACAAUAAGCUCAGGGGAAUCCUUUGUGCCCUGUCAAGGGGUUUUCAGGUGCUGUGGAGUCUUCCUGAAAUGGAGUAACCCUUUGUGGAGAGCCAGGAAGGUGCGUACAGGUGCUGAGUUUGCCUCCUUCCUAUGUGUGUAUCUCUGCUCUCAUAUGUUGUCCAACAUGCUGUUGUCUGCCUCUCCUUGCACUGUCUCCUUGCAUGGAACAUGGGCAAUGGUGGAUGCUUGCUGGCUUGGUCUGGAGAGUCUGUAUCCCACUGGGGCAUUGGGAGGAGGGAGAGAAGCAUGAUGGGUAUUAGAUCCUCCAUUGGUAGUGGUGUGGGAUGACUGUAGGAGUUGACUCUGACUCUGUUCAUCAAGUGGGGCUAAUGUACAGUGGAUGGGAGAGGGAGGGCGGCAUCUCAUACACCAGUAGAACUUGGGGCAGUGAUGGCUCCUGCUUGGGUUACAUGUUGUCUUUGCAGAGGGAUCGUCCAGGAGCCGCAGCUAGAGGAGAAACUGGAAGAAAUGAACCUGAGCAGCCUGAGCAUCCUUAUAAGCAGAGAUGAACAGUCCUCAGCUUUCUGCCUUCCACAUAACUGGCUGUGAGUAAGCGGUCAGUAUUUGGAAUUCCUCAUCUGUU
Chelonoidis abingdonii (Abingdon island giant tortoise) is the source of this 2296-nucleotide non-coding RNA. The record is from RefSeq and is a predicted model, not a curated record. NCBI's taxonomy places the organism in Eukaryota, Metazoa, Chordata, Testudines, Testudinidae.